This 473-nucleotide small RNA is filed under the name Pan troglodytes (chimpanzee). RNAcentral describes it as "processed transcript". The record is from RNAcentral. Lineage: Eukaryota; Metazoa; Chordata; Mammalia; Primates; Hominidae.
CUACUUCCCAACCUGACUGCAAUUUGGGGGGUGUUUAUCUGUCACCCAGGCUAGAGUGCAGUGGCAGGAUUACUGCUCACUGCAACCUCGACCUCCUGGGCUCAAGUGAUCCUCCCAGCUCAGCCUUCAAGAGUAGCUGGGACUGCAGACCUGCACCACCACGUCCAGUUGCCCGGCCCAAAAUGAUGGCCCCUCUUAACCCAAGGCAGGGGAUCUUCCUCCCAACUCCCUGGACCAAGGUGGCAUUUCCUGCACACCCCUCCAGGCCAAGAUGAUGCUCGCUCUUAACUCUGUAGGCCAAGGUGGCAUCUCCUCUUGACUCUCCAGACCUAAAGUGACACCCUUCAGGCACUUCGGGCCCAAUUCAGCCCAGUCCUGGUGCUUUUGGUGCCAGAUGACAGCACUUUGUAGAUAAGAACGAUAUGAUGUGUGGAUUUCACUACAUUUGGCUCCUGGAUGCUAUAAAAGGACUU